ACAUGACAACUGGCAACUUCCGGACUCCUCCUUUGCGUCAUCGGCAAUCCCCCCGCCAUAGUCAUCGGCAGUCCCUUUUACUCGGUCAUCGGUACCAUGCUACUGUCUGAGGACUUAGUCACAAUCAACUCCUCCCUCAUCGGCAACCAUCCUUACCAGCAACCCAUAUCAUACUGCCACCCUGUCUUGCCAUCCUGGACACGUGCCCAAAAACGG
This 216-nucleotide long non-coding RNA is filed under the name Sorghum bicolor (sorghum). RNAcentral describes it as "long non-coding RNA (SBIC_LNC009145)". Lineage: Eukaryota; Viridiplantae; Streptophyta; Magnoliopsida; Poales; Poaceae. The record is from RNAcentral.